Molecule: ribosomal RNA, 454 nt
Filed under: uncultured Parabacteroides sp.
Lineage: Bacteria; Pseudomonadati; Bacteroidota; Bacteroidia; Bacteroidales; Tannerellaceae
Description: partial 16S ribosomal RNA
Rfam family: Bacterial small subunit ribosomal RNA
Source: RNAcentral
ACGGGAGGCAGCAGUGAGGAAUAUUGGACAAUGGGGGCAACCCUGAUCCAGCCAAACCGCGUGAGGGAUGAAGGUCCUACGGAUCGUAAACCUCUUUUAUGUGGGAAUAAUUAGCGGGACGUGUUCCGCUUUGAAGGUACCACUUGAAUAAGCAUCGGCUAACUCCGUGCCAGCAGCCGCGGUAAUACGGAGGAUGCAGGCGUUAUCCGGAUUUAUUAGGUUUAAAGGGUGCGCAGGCGGGACAUUAAGUCGGCGGUGAAAUCCCGGGGCCUAACCCCGGAGCUGCCGUCGAUACUGAUGACCUAGAGUGCGUGUGACGUAGGCGGAAUGUGACGUGUAGCGGUGAAAUGCUUAGAUAUGUCACAGAACACCGAUUGCGAAGGCAGCCUACGAAUGCGUAACUGACGCUGAUGCACGAAAGCGCGGGUAGCGAACAGGAUUAGAUACCCUGGUA